UGAAUACGAGACGCUACGGCGUCGAAGCAGUCUAUGUCAUACUUCCAAGAAAAGCUUGCACUGUCAUAAACAAAUAAUGCCUGUACCAUAACCGACACAGGUGGGUAGGUAGAGUAUACUAAGGGGCGCGAGAUAACUCUCUCUAAGGAACUCGGCAAAAUGACUCCGUAACUUCGGGAGAAGGAGUGCCUUAUUUAUAAGGUUGCAAUAACAAGAUCCAAGCAACUGUUUAUCAAAAACACAGGUCUCCGCUAAGUCGUAAGACGGUGUAUGGGGGCUGACGCCUGCCCAGUGCCAGAAGGUUAAAGAAGUUGGUUAGCAUUAGCGAAGCUGAUAACUGAAGCCCUGGUGAACGGCGGCCGUAACUAUAACGGUCCUAAGGUAGCGAAAUUCCUUGUCGGGUAAGUUCCGACCCGCACGAAAGGCGUAAUGAUUUGGAUACUGUCUCAGAGAGGGGCUCGGUGAAAUAGACUUGUCUGUGAAGAUGCGGACUACCUGCACCAGGACAGAAAGACCCUAUGAAGCUUUACUGUAACUUGAAAUUGAAAUUGGACUUUAUUUGCGCAGUAUAGGUGGGAGGCAUUGAUAAUAUUCUUGCGGGAAUGUUGGAGCCAUCAGUGAGAUACCACUCUUGUAAUGUUAGAUUUCUAACUUUGGAUCAUUAUCUGGUCAAAGGACAGUUUCAGGCGGGCAGUUUGACUGGGGCGGUCGCCUCCUAAAUGGUAACGGAGGCGCACAAAGGUUUCCUCUGAACGGGUAGAAAUCGUAUCUAGAGUGUAAAGGCAUAAGGAAGCUUGACUGUGAGACCUACAAGUCGAGCAGGGACGAAAGUCGGUCUUAGUGAUCUGACGGUGCUGAGUGGAAAGGCCGUCACUCAACGGAUAAAAGUUACUCUAGGAUAACAGGCUGAUCUCCCCCAAGAGUUCACAUCGACGGGGAGGUUUGGCACCUCGAUGUCGGCUCAUCGCAUCCUGGGGCGGUAGUACGUCCCAAGGGUUGGGCUGUUCGCCCAUGAAAGCGGUACGCGAGCUGGGUUCAGAACGUCGUGAGACAGUUCGGUCCAUAUCCGGUGUAGGCGUUAGAAUAUUGAGAGGAGCCUUCUUUAGUACGAGAGGACCGAGAAGGACAUACCUCUGGUGUACCAGUUAUCGUGCCAACGGUAAACGCUGGGUAGCUAUGUAUGGAGAGGAUAACCGCUGAAAGCAUCUAAGUGGGAAGCCCACCUCAAGAUAAGUAUUCUC
Molecule: ribosomal RNA, 1241 nt
Filed under: metagenome
Description: bacterial LSU rRNA
Rfam family: Bacterial large subunit ribosomal RNA
Source: RNAcentral